This 69-nucleotide transfer RNA is filed under the name Mazarredia convexa. RNAcentral's name for it is "tRNA-Gln". Lineage: Eukaryota; Metazoa; Arthropoda; Insecta; Orthoptera; Tetrigidae. The record is from RNAcentral.
UAUAUUUUAGUGUAAGAUGCACAUAAAUUUUUGAUAUUUAGGGGGGUAGUUUAAUUCUACUAUAUAUAA